CAAUCCGUAAGCUUUCACAAGAAUGCAGAUAUUUUUACAUUUAUUUAUUUAUUUUAUUUGGGGAUAUCUAUUAACAAAUCUUAAGAGGGAAGCUAAAUUUCCUUUCCUUUUUUCCCUGCUAAGUGUCGUCCCCUACCCCUUACCCAUCAAACCUCCGUUUUUUUUCACAAGCUUCAGAGAGAUUAUUAAACCAUAUCAAAACUCAAUCAAGAACAUAUCAGGGUAAGAACUCUGGAACCAAGCUUCUUUGUUACAGAAAUUGGAAGAUUCUUCAACUUAUUAUUUCUUCUUCUUUUUCUUCGAAAAUUUGAGUUGUUGAAGGAAGAUUAUUCUAGCCUUGUACUAUAUCGAUUCUUAUAUGUUCUUGAGGUAAAUAUUCACUAGAAUCUAGUGAUAGGAUGAUAGGAAUCGAAGUUCUAUCCCAAAGCCCCAAUUUUCAGCCUCUUUCAUGAACCCUAGAAUCUAUUCCCUUUAUAUUAGCAUUAAUUGACUAUGUAUAAAUGUUUAUAUGUAUGCGAAGAUAUUAUUGAGAGUUAUUUGGGUAUUUACGCAAAAGAAAUCAUGAUUUCCCAAUAAGUUUAGUUUAGGUGGAUUGGUGGAUUUGGGAAUUUUUGUUAUAGGAUAGCUACUUGCUUGAUGCUUGUGUGAUUGUACUUUUGGGGAUUGUGAAGUGAGAUUAUAUGAUAGAAAUUGGGGGACGUCAAGCAUGUUAUUAUAUGUUGGUGUGUUAAACCAUUCUAGUAUGUAUUAAGAUGAUGUAAUUGAGUUUCUACAACCUUAUUUGGCAGAGAUAUGAGAUAUAUUAAGUUGCAACAGAAAAUGUGUUGCUGUCAGGUUUUGCUGGACGAACCAGUGUCUUGUGAGGGGUUUUCGGGAGUGUUCCUUUGGUCCAAAUGACUUAAAAUUUUUACAGUGAUAACUUCAUUAUGAGUAUUAUAUCUCUGCAAAAUUUCAACUGAAUCCGAGACCUCUAGAUAGGUCAAACAAUUUUCUGAAAAGUACUGCGCUAAGCAGCGAGGUUCUGUGGCAGAUUCUGCCUUUUGUGAAUUGUGAGAUAAUUUCUUAUACAUUUGAGAUAUUGUGUUUUUAUAAAUUCCCGAUAAAUAUAGACUUUAGUAGAUUUCUAAAAAUGUAAAGCUUAUAUUUUUCUUUGAAGAGGUUGAUUUUAUAUGAUUUUUCAAAGUUGAGAUUCAUUUAUGAAGACAUGUUUGAGAUUUCUUACUUGGGAUAGUUAUAAAUAGAACCAUGCUAAGUGAUUGGUGUUUUAGUCAUUAAUUGUUAGCUAAUCUAUAGAGAAUAGAUUAGUUUACUCUUGAGCAAUUUGAAAUGUUACCAUUUGCUUUUAGUUAGUUAAGUUCAUAAAAGCAGACGAUCUAAACUAGAGGAUGCAACUCUAAAGUUUCAAGUGAUAGAAGUUUCAACUAGGAAUUAUUUUUAUUUAUUUCUUGUCUAUCUAUCAAAUCUUACCUGGGAACCUCAUUAUAAUGAAGGUUCGAGUGGCAGUGUAGAAUGAACAAGCAAAAACUUCUACUUCAUUAAGUAUAUCAGGUGGGCUUACUAACUCAAGAAGUAAAGAUGCAUACUUUAUUAUAUAAAGUUUGAGUGUAUGCAAUUAUUUUCCAAUUAUUGACUUGCCAAUAUUUGAGAUUUAUACGAUACCAUCUACAUAGAAGAACGAAUUCGGGUCCUGAGCGAGUCAGGAUUUGUGUACACAGAGUUGACAGUUAACCUUUGAGUUAGCUUGUCAUCGUGUUUGAGAAGGAGGCCUACUUCUCAACACUCAGAGUUAUAUGAUGCGUAGAUAUGGUACAUACAUGUUAAUUGUCUGCAGACGUAUAUGAUGUUAUGAUGAUUAUAGAGAAGUUUUACAGUUUUGGCGUGCACAGGUUAUUUAUAUAAAACUCAUGUGUGAUGCUUGAGAUGGCAAGUUCAAUAUAUAGCUCUAAGAGCAAGCUUUAAAGUUAUUUCGGCAUGACCACUGAGUGCUUUUUGGUACUCAGCCCUGCAUAUGUUUCUAAAUAUGCAGGUUAAACUGUGAUGCAGAUGGAAGCAAGCCGAGCAAAGCCUUCGGUGUAUAUAUAUUAAAUUAGGCUCAGGAUUCCAUGUCUUCAUACAUGUAAUCCACAUGAGUUAUUUCGCUGCAACACUUAGUAUAUUCUACUUUAUUGAUGUGUUGUACAAAUUUUAAAUCAAUAGCUUUGAGAAUUAUGUCACUUGAAACUUGGACAACUUGUCGUUGUGUUAUUGUAAAUUAUCUACUCGUGAGUUUUAAAAGUGAUUGUAUAUGAUUACCAGACAUUAUGGUAAAGUAUUGCUUAAGCAGGAUAAUUAUUUUUAUUGAAACUUCUUUUA
RNAcentral lists this long non-coding RNA (2352 nucleotides) under Salvia miltiorrhiza (redroot sage). Its description in RNAcentral is "long non-coding RNA (SMIL_LNC000779)". Lineage: Eukaryota; Viridiplantae; Streptophyta; Magnoliopsida; Lamiales; Lamiaceae. The record is from RNAcentral.